CAGUUACAUUAAAAAAUAAUGUAAAAUUAAAUGAAUGGUUGCUAAGAUUAGGUUUGCGACUAAAAAUCUUUUGUAGAACAUUAAAGGAAAUUUCAUGGUACCUACUUACGGUAUUUACUCGCGACUGUGCUGAAGCUAGCUCUAUCCGCCCGCACGGGUGCGUUAUGGCACAGCGAGCUUGCCACAACAGCUUAAGUCAUUCAAUCCACGCAACUAAGCAUUUUGGUACAAUUUACAACUAAUAUUAUCUCCUUUCCUGGAGAAGGAACAGUCGCCAAGGCAAUGGAAGGAUGCAGUUGUGGUGCCUAUUUUCAAGGGACGUGGAGAUAAGGCAAAACCAGAAAAUUAUAGACCUGUCAGCAUGAUGUCGAGUGAGGGAAGGUGAUGGAAAAACUGAUAGUGAGACAUGGACAGAUUGGAAAUCUGUUACCAAAGCCAAGGCAGCCAGCGUAAAAAAAAAAAAAAAAAAACCUAGGCGGGACAGGUAGGGUCCAUCAAAAAUGUUUUUGAACAAACAUGAAGAAAGAUGAAUAGGCUUAAUAUGUUGAGCCAUGGCUAAUGGCUUUGGAAUUAAUGAUGUGGUUGGUGUUUCAUAAAGCACAACUGAUGAACCAGCAGGUGACGUAGGUUUGUCACAAGGCUUGUCUACUGCAACCUCCAUUGAGAUUCAGUGUCAACCAGAUGUCUUAAUUUCCCAAGAACCAAAAGCAUCCACAUCUUCAUGCUCUGAUGCGGUUAUUAACCCUUGUGAGCCACAAUUCAUUGAUGUUGAUGAAUUGGCAAUUUGUAUUUUGCAGUUUGAUGAACCACAAGUUCACGCCUUAACACGGAAUGGAAGUCCAUUGCCAUCAGCGUCAGCACUAUCUCCAAGAAAUUACUGUGCUUCUACUGCAAAACCAUCCUUAAGACGCAAACCUCAUGGGCAGACAAUUUUCAGUUCAAAAAAGAAGUGCAAGUUGAGUGACCCAGGCUCAACAUUCCAGAGAGCUACUGAAAGUUUCACCCGAGUGCGAGGAUAAAAACAUUGCUGUGCGCGGAGGUACAGCCUCAGCCUUGGCUAGACUUGCCACAGCUGCAGAUCUGGCAAAAGAACAAAUUAGAGAAACCCAAGGACUUGUGGAGGCUGCUAAUGGAAUCAUUACAGCAGUAAAGCUAUUGCAUCUGCACUCACACACACACACACACACACACACACACACACUUAAACGUCUUUUGAUUUGUUUAUAUAGGUACAUCUUUUAUUUUUAUUAUUCUUCUCCAUACAAAUUGUCCACAGCAUUGUUUGUUUUUUAUACCUUAAUCCUCAAGACUUGCCUCAUUCUUUCUUUAUAAUAUCCCACAUGUUUUUAUUUCUUCCUGGUUUUGAUGAAUUACUUUUUCUAAAUUCAUUUUCUUAGCUUGACUGAACACUUAACUGUACAAGUUUUGAUAAUUUUUUGUAAUAUUCUUCAAAGAAAAUGUAGUACCUAUGUAUUGUCUCCUACAUACUGCAUUGUCAGCUCUCAUGUUAAGUCAACCUAUAGGCUUCAGUUUUAAAUUAGAGAAAAAAUUUAGUAGAUUAAAAAACAUUAAAAAAUGUUAAUUGCUUACAGAUCUAAUGAAAUUUUUGGGAACCUGCUGGUCACAUGAUUACUUCAAACACAGUUUAUUCACAAAUUAUCGUAUAAGUUAGGCUCACACACCAAAAUUACUUAAAUAAUUAUUUUAAUAAAAUUAUUAAACUUAAAUAAUGGUGGUAAGAACUAAACAAUCAUAGUCAAUAUCAUCAGCAUCAUCACUCAGCUCACACUCUCUUCACUACCUACUCACCGUACCUACAUCUGUUGUAAGCAAAUGUGAACAACAUGCAGCACCUAGUGCUGGGCAUACACACAACUUGCAGCUCAUCAAUAUGUAUGAUACAAAUGUGUUAGCCUAUUUGUAAAAUUAAUUUUGCACUGCUGUAAAAUUUAAAGAAAAUUUCUGACAUGUAAAAUAAAAUAUACAUGUUUUUAAAGUAUAUAUGUGCAUAUUUUGUUUUCUUGCAAUUUCUGAAAUGCCCGCAUGUAAGUCGGGUCUACAUUUUUCUUUAUAAAUUUAGGGGAAAAUUUCCAACAUAUUCAAGACAAUAAGUUAUUUGGUAGAGAGAUUUAAUGAUUUAAACCAUUUAGUGGGAAUCCAUAUGGCUAUGCCAAAACUGCAUGUUAAUACAACAAAGCACUGAAGUGGAACUAAAAGCAUGAAAUUGAUCAGCAUAUUUACCAAAUGUAGUUCAUAUCACAAAAAUAUAAAUUUUAAUAAAUUUUAUUUUUUCAUCCCAAAUUUAUAACAAAAAUGUAUUGGACAUAUGAAUAGGAAAAAAAUUAAUUACCUACAUUGUUUGAUCUUGUCUCCCUUAUAACCCUAGCUUUACCUUACUGACGUGUGUAUAUUUUUCAAAUGCAUAAAUGCUCGUUAACUUAUUUUUGUUUCAAGUAAUUCUGCCAGAGACGUGUAUUACAAAUUAAUUUUUGUUAAAAUGCAUUAUUUGUCACAUUCAAAAUCACACUAUUUUUAAUUGUGUAUCAAAAAAUAUUUAAAUGUUUUAUUAAUUUAAUAAUAUUCUAUUUUUAGUUAAAUAAAUAGUGUUAAAAAUAAAAACGGUUCAAUCAAAAUAUGUUUCUAAAAACAAAAUUGGCCUGAAAAUAAAACUAUAAAAUCUUGUCCUUAUUUAUAGUCCUAAAUUAAAUUUUAUAACAUACGUAAUGUAUUUUUUCAUAUCUAUAUUAUUUGUUGAAAGUAAUAGUCUGGUUUUCCAAAGUCUUUUCCACUAUUAAAUGGAAUGAUUUGUAUUAAUAUUUGUUUUGAUGUACAUAUUUCAAUGUAGGCCUAGUGUAUGUUCAGGGUGUGUUGAUUUUGUAACUUUUGUGAUUAUGCAAAUCAUUGAUUUUAUUUGGUAUAUUUUUCAUAUUGUAUGAAUUUUAUGAUCUCACAUAGCAUGACCUUGUUUAUUGUCUAUAUUGUUUUGUUAAUUUUUUGGGUAAAAAUAUAUUUCUAUCUCCAUCUGGAAGCAAUACAA
Long non-coding RNA from Bacillus rossius redtenbacheri, 3037 nucleotides. RefSeq lists it as uncharacterized. The record is from RefSeq and is a predicted model, not a curated record. NCBI's taxonomy places the organism in Eukaryota, Metazoa, Arthropoda, Insecta, Phasmatodea, Bacillidae. The transcript has 3 exons.